CCCAGACUCCUACGGGAGGCAGCAGUGAGGAAUAUUGGUCAAUGGCCGAGAGGCUGGACCAGCCAAGUCGCGUGAGGGAAGACGGCCCUACGGGUUGUAAACCUCUUUUGUCGGGGAGCAAAGCGAACCACGUGUGGUUCAUUGAGAGUACCCGAAGAAAAAGCAUCGGCUAACUCCGUGCCAGCAGCCGCGGUAAUACGGAGGAUGCGAGCGUUAUCCGGAUUUAUUGGGUUUAAAGGGUGCGCAGGCGGAAUGUCAAGUCAGCGGUAAAAUUUCGGGGCUCAACCCCGUCGUGCCGUUGAAACUGGCGUUCUUGAGUGAGCGAGAAGUAUGCGGAAUGCGUGGUGUAGCGGUGAAAUGCAUAGAUAUCACGCAGAACUCCGAUUGCGAAGGCAGCAUACCGGCGCUCAACUGACGCUCAUGCACGAAAGCGUGGGUAUCGAACAGGAUUAGAUACCCCGGUA
RNAcentral lists this ribosomal RNA (464 nucleotides) under uncultured bacterium. RNAcentral's name for it is "bacterial SSU rRNA". It matches the Rfam family "Bacterial small subunit ribosomal RNA", at positions 330 to 792 of the family's 1533-position model. The record is from RNAcentral.